UUCGUAAUUUCAAAAGUACAAUAACUUCAACCACGCUUAUCUUAUUCGGCUCCUUCCUCCUUUCCCUACAUUCCUCCUUUCCCUACAUUCAGACCAGAUUAACCUAACGUUGCGGCACCGCCUCUCUACUGGCCGUCUUUCGCUUCGUCUCCGCCGUACUGACCAUCAUCGCUUGAAUCGGCCGAUUCCGAACCAGGUUACUUUCUUUUGCACGAACCACGUUAGGGUAUUCCAUAAUUGGAUUUUUGCCGGCCUCUGUUCAACGAUUUUCUCAACUACAUGUUUUUUGGUUGUUUCAAUAUGAGUUUACUGAGGACACCGGUGUAUGUCGCACCACAUCACUCGAUUUUGACCGGAUCUGGGCUGGCUCUUGCAUCGUGCCAACUGGACUUUAAAAUAAAGGUAUUCUAAAUGGGCUGCUAUCAAAUGAUAACAUAGAUUUGCUACAGUACCGAGGUUAAUUUCGUCAUUUAUCGUUGUUGCCCCGUUCACUUUUCAUCUUCAGCUUCGACACCCUUGGUAAAUAGGGUUUACUACAGUUAAAUUCAAAGAGAGAACCCAGAGAACACCGGUGUAUGUCGCUCCACAUCAGUCGAUUUUGACCGGAUCUGGGCUGGCUCCCGCAUCGUGUUACAUCAACCUUCCGAUUUGAACACAGGAACCCUUCUUGCUCCAGUUUUUCCCCGAUUUCUGGUUAGUCAUUAUCUUGCUCCAGUCCUUGCCCGAUUUUUUGUUACUUCGCUGAUAAAAUUCUUCAGUUAGUGAUCUGAAUUUCGGAAUGCUAUUAUUGGAUAUUCAUUACUUACUUUCAGUUAGUAAUAUGAGAAUCGAAAUGAUGGAUCUAAAUCUGAUGUAUCUGCUUUUAUUUUAUGUGAAAGUUUCUUUUAAUAUGCCCACGAUUUCAUGGUUUCAGCACU
Molecule: long non-coding RNA, 917 nt
Organism: Helianthus annuus (common sunflower)
Lineage: Eukaryota; Viridiplantae; Streptophyta; Magnoliopsida; Asterales; Asteraceae
Exons: 2
Source: RefSeq, a predicted model, not a curated record